AUUGAACGCUGGCGGCAGGCCUAACACAUGCAAGUCGAGCGGAUGAAGGGAGCUUGCUCCUGGAUUCAGCGGCGGACGGGUGAGUAAUGCCUAGGAAUCUGCCUGGUAGUGGGGGAUAACGUCCGGAAACGGGCGCUAAUACCGCAUACGUCCUGAGGGAGAAAGUGGGGGAUCUUCGGACCUCACGCUAUCAGAUGAGCCUAGGUCGGAUUAGCUAGUUGGUGGGGUAAAGGCCUACCAAGGCGACGAUCCGUAACUGGUCUGAGAGGAUGAUCAGUCACACUGGAGCUGAGACACGGUCCAGACUCCUACGGGAGGCAGCAUUGGGGAAUAUUGGACAAUGGGCGAAAGCCUGAUCCAGCCAUGCCGCGUGUGUGAAGAAGGUCUUCGGAUUGUAAAGCACUUUAAGUUGGGAGGAAGGGCAGUAAGUUAAUACCUUGCUGUUUUGACGUUACCAACAGAAUAAGCACCGGCUAACUUCGUG
Molecule: ribosomal RNA, 484 nt
Filed under: uncultured bacterium
Lineage: Bacteria
Description: partial 16S ribosomal RNA
Rfam family: Bacterial small subunit ribosomal RNA
Source: RNAcentral